CGGACGGGUGAGUAAUGUCUGGGAAACUGCCUGAUGGAGGGGGAUAACUACUGGAAACGGUAGCUAAUACCGCAUAAUGUCGCAAGACCAAAGAGGGGGACCUUCGGGCCUCUUGCCAUCAGAUGUGCCCAGAUGGGAUUAGCUUGUUGGUGGGGUAACGGCCCACCAAGGCGACGAUCCCUAGCUGGUCUGAGAGGAUGACCAGCCACACUGGAACUGAGACACGGUCCAG
RNAcentral lists this ribosomal RNA (232 nucleotides) under uncultured Enterobacterales bacterium. RNAcentral's name for it is "partial 16S ribosomal RNA". It matches the Rfam family "Bacterial small subunit ribosomal RNA", at positions 99 to 334 of the family's 1533-position model. The record is from RNAcentral. Lineage: Bacteria; Pseudomonadati; Pseudomonadota; Gammaproteobacteria; Enterobacterales.